UACGUAGGCAGCGAGCGUUGUUCGGAGUUACUGGGCGUAAAGGGCGUGUAGGCGGUUCGGUAAGUGAGAUGUGAAAUCCUCCGGCUCACCCGGAGACCUGCAUCUCAAACUGCCGGACUAGAGUAUGGGAGAGGACAAGGGAAUUCCCGGUGUAGUGGUGAAAUGCGUAGAUAUCGGGAGGAACACCAGUGGCGAAGGCGGCUUCCUGGCCUGUUCUUGACGCUGAGGCGCGAAAGCUAGGGGAGCAAACGGG
This 253-nucleotide ribosomal RNA is filed under the name uncultured bacterium. Its description in RNAcentral is "partial 16S ribosomal RNA". It matches the Rfam family "Bacterial small subunit ribosomal RNA", at positions 524 to 776 of the family's 1533-position model. The record is from RNAcentral.